This 305-nucleotide ribosomal RNA is filed under the name uncultured bacterium. RNAcentral's name for it is "bacterial SSU rRNA". It matches the Rfam family "Bacterial small subunit ribosomal RNA", at positions 334 to 649 of the family's 1533-position model. The record is from RNAcentral.
GCGUGCCUACGGGACGCAGCAGUCGGGAAUCAUUCACAACGGGGGAAACCCUGAUGGUGCGACGCCGCGUGGGGGAAUGAAGGUCUUCGGAUUGUAAACCCCUGUCAUAUGGGAGCAAAUUAAAAAGAUAGUACCACAAGAGGAAGAGACGGCUAACUCUGUGCCAGCAGCCGCGGUAAUACAGAGGUCUCAAGCGUUGUUCGGAAUCACUGGGCGUAAAGCGUGCGUAGGCUGUUUCGUAAGUCGUGUGUGAAAGGCGCGGGCUCAACCCGCGGACGGCACAUGAUACUGCGAGACUAGAGUAA